This 1533-nucleotide ribosomal RNA is filed under the name Lactiplantibacillus plantarum. RNAcentral's name for it is "Lactobacillus plantarum partial 16S ribosomal RNA". It matches the Rfam family "Bacterial small subunit ribosomal RNA". The record is from RNAcentral. Lineage: Bacteria; Bacillati; Bacillota; Bacilli; Lactobacillales; Lactobacillaceae.
GAGUUUGAUCCUGGCUCAGGACGAACGCUGGCGGCGUGCCUAAUACAUGCAAGUCGAACGAACUCUGGUAUUGAUUGGUGCUUGCAUCAUGAUUUACAUUUGAGUGAGUGGAGAAANUGGUGAGUAACACGUGGGAAACCUGCCCAGAAGCGGGGGAUAACACCUGGAAACAGAUGCUAAUACCGCAUAACAACUUGGACCGCAUGGUCCGAGCUUGAAAGAUGGCUUCGGCUAUCACUUUUGGAUGGUCCCGCGGCGUAUUAGCUAGAUGGUGGGGUAACGGCUCACCAUGGCAAUGAUACGUAGCCGACCUGAGAGGGUAAUCGGCCACAUUGGGACUGAGACACGGCCCAAACUCCUACGGGAGGCAGCAGUAGGGAAUCUUCCACAAUGGACGAAAGUCUGAUGGAGCAACGCCGCGUGAGUGAAGAAGGGUUUCGGCUCGUAAAACUCUGUUGUUAAAGAAGAACAUAUCUGAGAGUAACUGUUCAGGUAUUGACGGUAUUUAACCAGAAAGCCACGGCUAACUACGUGCCAGCAGCCGCGGUAAUACGUAGGUGGCAAGCGUUGUCCGGAUUUAUUGGGCGUAAAGCGAGCGCAGGCGGUUUUUUAAGUCUGAUGUGAAAGCCUUCGGCUCAACCGAAGAAGUGCAUCGGAAACUGGGAAACUUGAGUGCAGAAGAGGACAGUGGAACUCCAUGUGUAGCGGUGAAAUGCGUAGAUAUAUGGAAGAACACCAGUGGCGAAGGCGGCUGUCUGGUCUGUAACUGACGCUGAGGCUCGAAAGUAUGGGUAGCAAACAGGAUUAGAUACCCUGGUAGUCCAUACCGUAAACGAUGAAUGCUAAGUGUUGGAGGGUUUCCGCCCUUCAGUGCUGCAGCUAACGCAUUAAGCAUUCCGCCUGGGGAGUACGGCCGCAAGGCUGAAACUCAAAGGAAUUGACGGGGGCCCGCACAAGCGGUGGAGCAUGUGGUUUAAUUCGAAGCUACGCGAAGAACCUUACCAGGUCUUGACAUACUAUGCAAAUCUAAGAGAUUAGACGUUCCCUUCGGGGACAUGGAUACAGGUGGUGCAUGGUUGUCGUCAGCUCGUGUCGUGAGAUGUUGGGUUAAGUCCCGCAACGAGCGCAACCCUUAUUAUCAGUUGCCAGCAUUAAGUUGGGCACUCUGGUGAGACUGCCGGUGACAAACCGGAGGAAGGUGGGGAUGACGUCAAAUCAUCAUGCCCCUUAUGACCUGGGCUACACACGUGCUACAAUGGAUGGUACAACGAGUUGCGAACUCGCGNAGAGUAAGCUAAUCUCUUAAAGCCAUUCUCAGUUCGGAUUGUAGGCUGCAACUCGCCUACAUGAAGUCGGAAUCCCUAGUAAUCGCGGAUCAGCAUGCCGCGGUGAAUACGUUCCCGGGCCUUGUACACACCGCCCGUCACACCAUGAGAGUUUGUAACACCCAAAGUCGGUGGGGUAACCUUUUAGGAACCAGCCGCCUAAGGUGGGACAGAUGAUUAGGGUGAAGUCGUAACAGGGUAGCCGUAG